GCUGGGCAUGGUGGCGCAUGCCUGUAAUCCCAGUAGCUCAGGAGGCUGAGACAAGAGGAUGGCAGGUUUGAAGCCAGCCUCAGCAACUGAGAGAGGUUAUAAGCAACCUAGUGAGACCCAGUCUCAA
Molecule: small RNA, 127 nt
Filed under: Marmota monax (woodchuck)
Lineage: Eukaryota; Metazoa; Chordata; Mammalia; Rodentia; Sciuridae
Source: RNAcentral